RNAcentral lists this ribosomal RNA (820 nucleotides) under uncultured Bacteroidota bacterium. RNAcentral's name for it is "bacterial SSU rRNA". It matches the Rfam family "Bacterial small subunit ribosomal RNA", at positions 60 to 886 of the family's 1533-position model. The record is from RNAcentral. Lineage: Bacteria; Pseudomonadati; Bacteroidota.
AGUCGAGGGGUAUUUAUCUUCGGAUAGAGAGACCGGCGCACGGGUGCGUAACGCGUAUGCAAUCUACCUUUUACAGAGGGAUAGCCCAGAGAAAUUUGGAUUAAUACCUCAUAGUAUGUGAGAAUGGCAUCAUUUUCACAUUAAAGUCACAACGGUAAAAGAUGAGCAUGCGUCCCAUUAGCUAGUUGGUAAGGUAACGGCUUACCAAGGCUACGAUGGGUAGGGGUCCUGAGAGGGAGAUCCCCCACACUGGUACUGAGACACGGACCAGACUCCUACGGGAGGCAGCAGUGAGGAAUAUUGGACAAUGGGCGCAAGCCUGAUCCAGCCAUGCCGCGUGCAGGAUGACGGUCCUAUGGAUUGUAAACUGCUUUUGCACAGGAAGAAACAACGCUACGUGUAGCGUCUUGACGGUACUGUGAGAAUAAGGAUCGGCUAACUCCGUGCCAGCAGCCGCGGUAAUACGGAGGAUCCAAGCGUUAUCCGGAAUCAUUGGGUUUAAAGGGUCCGUAGGCGGUUUAGUAAGUCAGUGGUGAAAGCCCAUCGCUCAACGGUGGAACGGCCAUUGAUACUGCUAGACUUGAAUUAUUAGGAAGUAACUAGAAUAUGUAGUGUAGCGGUGAAAUGCUUAGAGAUUACAUGGAAUACCAAUUGCGAAGGCAGGUUACUACUAAUGGAUUGACGCUGAUGGACGAAGGCGUGGGUAGCGAACAGGAUUAGAUACCCUGGUAGUCCACGCCGUAAACGAUGGAUACUAGCUGUUGGGAGCGAUCUCAGUGGCUAAGCGAAAGUGAUAAGUAUCCCACCUGGGGAGUACGUU